Molecule: ribosomal RNA, 213 nt
Filed under: uncultured bacterium
Lineage: Bacteria
Description: partial 16S ribosomal RNA
Rfam family: Bacterial small subunit ribosomal RNA
Source: RNAcentral
AAUGAACGCUGGCGGCAUGCCUAACACAUGCAAGUCGAACGAGAUGCUGACUUCGGUUGGUAUCUAGUGGCGCACGGUUGCGUAACGCGUGGGAAUCUGCCCUUGGGUUCGGAAUAACAGUGAGAAAUUACUGCUAAUACCGGAUAAUGACGUAAGUCCAAAGAUUUAUCGCCCAGGAUGAGCCCGCGUAAGAUUAGCUAGUUGGUGGGAAGG